Molecule: ribosomal RNA, 494 nt
Filed under: uncultured bacterium
Lineage: Bacteria
Description: partial 16S ribosomal RNA
Rfam family: Bacterial small subunit ribosomal RNA
Source: RNAcentral
GACGAACGCUGGCGGCGCGCUUAACACAUGCAAGUCGAACGGAAAGGCCUGCUUUCCCUUGUGGAUUGCGGGUACUCGAGUGGCGAACGGGUGAGUAACACGUGAGUGAUCUGCCCCCAACUUGGGUAUAAGCCUGGGAAACUGGGUCUAAUUCCCGAUAGGACUGCAGGGUGGUGCCUGUGGUGGAAAACGAUUUUCUAGUGGUUGGGGAUGAGCUCGCGGCCUAUCAGCUUGUUGGUGGGGUAAUGGCCUACCAAGGCGGCGACGGGUAGCCGGCCUGGGAGGGUGGACGGCCACAGUGGGACGGAGAUACGGCCCAGACUACUACGGGAAGCAGCAGUGGGGAAUAUUGCACAAUGGGCGGAAGCCUGAUGCAGCGACGCCGCGUGGGGGAUGACGGCCUUCGGGUUGUAAACUCCUUUCGACCGCGAGGAAGCCACCUGGUUGGAAGGGUGGUGACGGUAGUGGUAGAAGAAGCACCGGCUAACUACGUG